Molecule: ribosomal RNA, 376 nt
Filed under: uncultured organism
Description: partial 16S ribosomal RNA
Rfam family: Bacterial small subunit ribosomal RNA
Source: RNAcentral
GUAGGUGGCAAGCGUUGUCCGGGAAUUAUUGGGGCGUAAAGCGCGCGCAGGCGGUUCUUUAAGUCUGACGUGAAAGCCCACGGGCUCAACCGUGGAGGGUCAUUGGAAACUGGAGAACUUGAGUACAGAAGAGGAAAGCGGAAUUCCACGUGUAGCGGUGAAAUGCGUAGAGAUGUGGAGGAACACCAGUGGCGAAGGCGGCUUUCUGGUCUGUAACUGACGCUGAGGCGCGAAAGCGUGGGGAGCAAACAGGAUUAGAUACCCUGGUAGUCCACGCCGUAAACGAUGAGUGCUAAGUGUUAGGGGGUUUCCGCCCCUUAGUGCUGCAGCUAACGCAUUAAGCACUCCGCCUGGGGAGUACGGCCGCAAAGGCUGA